Molecule: ribosomal RNA, 398 nt
Filed under: soil bacterium 11G-07
Lineage: Bacteria
Description: bacterial SSU rRNA
Rfam family: Bacterial small subunit ribosomal RNA
Source: RNAcentral
UCAGGAUGAACGCUGGCGGCGUGCUUAACACAUGCAAGUCGAACGAUGAUCCCAGCUUGCUGGGGGAUUAGUGGCGAACGGGUGAGUAACACGUGAGUAACCUGCCCUUAACUCUGGGAUAAGCCUGGGAAACUGGGUCUAAUACCGGAUAUGACUCCUCAUCGCAUGGUGGGGGGUGGAAAGCUUUAUUGUGGUUUUGGAUGGACUCGCGGCCUAUCAGCUUGUUGGUGAGGUAAUGGCUCACCAAGGCGACGACGGGUAGCCGGCCUGAGAGGGUGACCGGCCACACUGGGACUGAGACACGGCCCAGACUCCUACGGGAGGCAGCAGUGGGGAAUAUUGCACAAUGGGCGAAAGCCUGAUGCAGCGACGCCGCGUGAGGGAUGACGGCCUUCGGG